GAAGACCAGUGAGAAUUGAUUCUAUUCUUCUAGAUUUCUGAGUGCGAAGAAAAAUAGAAAAUUUCUAGAGAAAAAUCAAGAAAAAUGGAGGUGAAGAUUGUUGGGUGAUAAGGCUCGAGAAGAAGAUGAAAUGGGUAGGGAAGGUAGUGGUGGCUAUGAAAGAAAAAGAAGGCGGGAUGGGUGACGACUACGAAACUACUAUUUUCUGUGGA
Molecule: long non-coding RNA, 212 nt
Filed under: Olea europaea (common olive)
Lineage: Eukaryota; Viridiplantae; Streptophyta; Magnoliopsida; Lamiales; Oleaceae
Description: long non-coding RNA (OEUR_LNC005836)
Source: RNAcentral